Molecule: long non-coding RNA, 310 nt
Filed under: Pongo abelii (Sumatran orangutan)
Lineage: Eukaryota; Metazoa; Chordata; Mammalia; Primates; Hominidae
Description: lincRNA
Source: RNAcentral
AAAACUUUGAAUAUAUCAUCUCACUCUUUCCUGGCCCACAAGGUUUUUGCUGAGAAGUCUCCUGAUAUCCUUAUGGGUCUGGAAAUAACUGGGAAAGAAAAGCCUUGUUUCAGAACAUUCUCCAGUUCUUGAGGCUGGGAAGUCCAAGAUCAAGAUACUGGAAGUUCUAGUAUCUGGGAAAACAUGCUGCUUCUUCAAAGACUCCAAUUUCAGAUGGCAAAAUGCAUGGAAGCUGAGAUGGACCUUCUGGAGUUUUCGAUAAACCACUGUAGCUCAGUCAGAGGUUCAAUUAUGAUGAUACCCACACAAG